UCCGGUUUGGCACCGGCGGUCUCCCAUGAGUCCCCGGCAUCACCCGCUGGCAACAUGGGACAGGGGUUGCGCUCGUUGCGCCACUUAAGGCAACACCUCACGGCACGAGCUGACGACAGCCAUGCAGCACCUGUGCUAGCCCCCGAAGGACACGGGCUUUCACCCGCUUUAACUAGCAUGUCAAGCCCAGGUAAGGUGGGGAUGACGUUUCGGCAUUAGCCA
RNAcentral lists this unclassified non-coding RNA (222 nucleotides) under uncultured Actinomycetes bacterium. RNAcentral's name for it is "uncultured actinobacterium contains 16S-23S intergenic spacer region". The record is from RNAcentral. Lineage: Bacteria; Bacillati; Actinomycetota; Actinomycetes.